Non-coding RNA from Heterocephalus glaber (naked mole-rat), 3146 nucleotides. Lineage: Eukaryota; Metazoa; Chordata; Mammalia; Rodentia; Bathyergidae. The record is from RefSeq and is a predicted model, not a curated record.
UGAACUAUUAGUAACCAUUGCCAGAAUUUUAAAAUCUGCUAUGAAUUUAAACACAUGAACUAUAUAUAGAUGACCUUACAGGUAAGUUUCUCUAAGGAAAGUUCUCUUUCUUUUCUCUUUUCACAUGCAAGCGCACUUUCCCCCUUGCCAGGGUCUGGAGUGUCCCGGGCCCAGGUGGGGCCCAUGGGUGCCUUGGGUUCUGUCACCCCGGGGUCUGGUCCUUUCGCAGCACACAGGGGUUGAUGAAGGCAGAGCUGCGAGCCAAAGAGCGUGCAGGCAGUGGAGGCAACCAGAAGUGGUCCGAAUAGAAACAGGGAUUUAAGGGACAUUUUUCUUCUUGGUGGCUUAAAGUACUUUGCAAACAUUUGGUUCUGUAAAUUUCAUGUUUAUAUUCAUGUUUUUCUCUUUCUGCUUUGUUACACUAUUAGCAAGGAAAAGGCCAAAUUAUCUCCAUUGCUGGAGAGGAAUAAGGCCAGGAAGACAGCUGAGUCUUCAGCAGACCUCCGGCCACUGCGUCAAGGCCUGCAUGCUGUGACCUGGCUACCAGCAGCACUGUACACUGGUAUGAAAUACACUGUGAAUGAAAUACACUGUGCCUGUGAAAACACUGUGAAUGGAAUACACUGUGCCUUGAUUUGAGCUCACUAGAGAGAAAGUCAGUGUGCAUUUCAUGGUUUUCUUGUAUUAGUAAGUGCUAUCAUUCUGUGCUAGGUACUGUUCUGAGCACGUUACAUACAUUAGUUCAUUUACUUUUGAAAAAACCCAUGAGAUAAGAUUGUUCUUUAAGUCCCCAUUGCAUAGAAGAGUAAAACUGAGGCAAGAAGAAAUAAAGUAACUUAUCCACAACCAGGGAGCCAGCAACCGCAGGGCUGAAAAUUGCCCCCAGCAGUUUGAUUUACACCCUCACACCACUACACUGAUUGAUUUGUGAUAAUGUUUUGCUUUGACUUUUUUAAAAAUGUAAAGUGAAAAAAUAAAAACAAACAGGCCGUAUCUACUGCAUUCAUGAAGUAAUAAGAUAAACAUUAGCACACCAGGAAGGUCAUUUCCAAUUUUCCUUUGGAGACUGGUCUUUGCUCAUUUUUCCUGUGUAAAUAGCUCAGGGGCAUGUUUCCCCAGGGCUGUGUAUUCUUCUUAUCUUUUUCCAAAGGGAGAUAAGGCUUAGAUUUAUUUAAAACUUACCUCAGGAUUCACUACCAGGCACAAGUUUUUCCUACUGACAGGAGACGUCUCUGACUGACUUAACCAGCUGCUGGCCCUUGCAGUUCCCUUCCGGCCUGCUCCCUUCCCUUCUCAGCAGCCAGGUCAGUUCUGAGCAUGGCCUUCUUCCUGAGUUCUCACACAGUGGACCCAGGACAAGUGCUUGGAACUGGGGGCUGCUGAGCCACGCCAAAUCUGCAGGAUUUUAGGACUUGAUGGGAGGCUUCCCCCUGACUUAGAAACCAGUGUUCCCUUGUCUUUUGGCUUCUAGUUGUCUAAAAAAAUCUAGCAACUGUAAAAUACAGACUCUAAAUAAACAUCAUCUCUAUCUGCUGAGCUGGAAGUUUGUUAUCACUGAAAGCCCUGAGAGGUUCGCCAUCACUGAGGGCUGCAGCUAAGUGGCCUAUCUUCUCCCAACACUGACGACUUUUACCAACUCUGCAACUCUGAACACAGCAAGGAGAACUCCGAGCUUCGAGUGAGUCUCCUCUAGACUUCACUUUCUCCAAAGAGAGGACUGGAUAUUAGAAAUUCAUACAUCUGAGGGGCUUACCAUUCCAAAGCCCGCAAGAUAGCCAACCGGCUAGUGACAGUGCGGCUUCAGAGGACCAAAGGUCUCCAACCGGAGUGUUUAUAAUUUGGAGGCUACUGAAACGAAGUUGGCAACUCUCACAACUUAGUCCUCUCAGCACUCAUUCGCUCAUGCAGCUACCCAACAAGACCUUGCAUCUGGCCUUGGACACAGCACACAGCACCUGACUGCCACGACCAGCUUCAAAGCUAUUCGAUUGCAUAACUAGAAAUAAGGAGAAAACAAGCAAACUGUCCCAAAUUGCAAGUGGUAGAAUGAUUCUGAUGUUUGUAAAAGCAAAACAAAUUGAUUCAAAAAUGAACUCAGCUGUGAUAAGUGAAUUGUGCUGUUUCAAUCCUUUACAAAUUUUAAAACUUGUGAUAAAAAUACAUAACUAUAUUUAAGUGACCAGUCCAGUAGUGCUAAGUAUAUUCACACUAUUAUACAACCAAUUUUCUAAACUUUUUCAUUUUGCAAAAUUAAAACUCUGCCAAUUAAACAAGAGCUUCCCAUUUCCCCCCUCCCAGUCCUUGGUAAUCACUAUUCUACUAUCUGUUUCUAUGAGUUUGACUACUCUAAAUACCUCGUAAAAAUGGAACCAUACAGUAUUUACCUUUUUGUUAACUGGCUUAUUUUACUAGCAUGAUGUCUUCAAGUUUCAUUCAUGUUGUAGCAUGUAUCAGAAAUUUCUGUCUUUUUAACUGAAUAAUAUUCCACUGUAUGUAUAGAUCACAUUUUGUUUAUCCAUUAAUGUGAUUUUUUAAAGAAAAACUGAGAUCAAUUUUUGAUUGAUGUGUUCCAUUAUGGACAUUACCCUGAUAUCUAUAUCUAUCUUUAUAUAUAUAAAUAUACAGUGUGUAUACAUUAUACAUAUAAUUUAUAUGUAAUAGAUCUAGACCUUCUAUAGAGUAAAAGGAAAACACACAGAAAAUUCCUGCUUCCCCCACUUCUUAGAAAGACUUUUUACAGGAUCCUAUUCUACUCCAACUUCAUAUUCACAGUAUUUGUGUGAAGGCUUUGGUCACUGGUCAAACAUAGGUAAUCCAUUUAAAAACUCUCCAAAGCAUUUUUUUUUUCUCCUAGUGAAAACACAUUCAUUCUGGGGGACGUAUACCUGGUCACAAUCAUGGUUGGAUGACAGAAAGUCCUGGUUUGGAGCCUGCUCUAACACUCACCAGCAGAGUAACCAUGACAAGCUGAUUACUCUCUCCAAGCCUUCACUUCUUCACAUGUUAUAAAGAAUAAUGUCACCUAUGGUGGACAAUUGUUCUUACAAACAUGAGGCGAAAUUGUGCAUAUACUGUGCUUACCAUAGGACCUAGCACAUAGUGCACUCAAUGAAAGGAUACUAUUAUCAUUUUUUAAAUAAAUAUAU